CCUACGGGAGGCAGCAGUGAGGAAUAUUGGUCAAUGGGCUUACGCCUGAACCAGCCAAGUCGCGUGAGGGAAGACUGCCCUAUGGGUUGUAAACCUCUUUUGUCAGGGAGCAAUUGGCGCUACGUGUAGCGUUAUCGAGAGUACCUGAAGAAAAAGCAUCGGCUAACCCCGUGCCAGCAGCCGCGGUAAUACGGAGGAUGCGAGCGUUAUCCGGAUUUUUUGGGUUUAAAGGGUGCGUAGGCGGAAUGCCAAGUCAGCGGUAAAAUCGCGGGGCUCAACCUCGCUCCGCCGUUGAAACUGGCGUUCUUGAGUGGGCGAGAAGUAUGCGGAAUGCGUGGUGUAGCGGUGAAAUGCAUAGAUAUCACGCAGAACUCCGAUUGCGAAGGCAGCAUACCGGCGCCCAACUGACGCUGAAGCACGAAAGCGUGGGUAUCGAACAGGAUUAGAUACCCUUGUAGUC
Molecule: ribosomal RNA, 460 nt
Filed under: uncultured bacterium
Lineage: Bacteria
Description: partial 16S ribosomal RNA
Rfam family: Bacterial small subunit ribosomal RNA
Source: RNAcentral